GGCAGGUUCUCGCGUGGAAAUUGGCCACCGGAGCCGCCAGGUACCUCCUCCCGGCCGCGGGACCGCCGCGCCCGGAGCCUCCGCUCCCGCUGACAGGAUGCGUGCGGCGGGACACCCGGCCUCGGCCAGCGGCAACUAGGAGGGGACCGGCUGUUCUGCGGGACGGCUCGCCGGGACUGCCCCAGCCUGGAGGGCAGGCACACAGGAAUUCAAGAUCACACAACCAGCAGCUUCAGUGGAGAAAAACUAUUUUGCUGGCAACUCUUUUUAAAGCACCAUCAUUUCAAAUCAGUGCGCUCUUAAACUAUUGACAGGAGCUUUGACAACAAGACAGGAUGCCUC
Pyrgilauda ruficollis (rufous-necked snowfinch) is the source of this 342-nucleotide long non-coding RNA. RefSeq lists it as uncharacterized. The record is from RefSeq and is a predicted model, not a curated record. The transcript is spliced from 3 exons. Lineage: Eukaryota; Metazoa; Chordata; Aves; Passeriformes; Passeridae.